AACAAAACCAAGGAACAGAUUACAAGAAUCAUACAAUCAGGGAGCACAACUGGUGAAGACAUUGCAAGCUGAACUUCCUCCAAGGAGCAAGGAUGGGACUGUAGCCUCUUAUGAAUCUGGCUAUCAUCCUUCAAUGUGGGCAUCCUAUAAAAUGGGAACUCAGAAGCAAGGCAGCACAGUAAAUGGAUAAAGAUCUCUGCAUAAUGUGCCAAAUUGCAAAUUCAAUAUGUCUAUAAUAGCUCCACAGAGAAGUAAAAUACAGGCUGCUGCCCAAUACAAAAAUAUUCUCAGCUUUAA
This is a long non-coding RNA of Pantherophis guttatus, 297 nucleotides long. RefSeq lists it as uncharacterized. The record is from RefSeq and is a predicted model, not a curated record. NCBI's taxonomy places the organism in Eukaryota, Metazoa, Chordata, Lepidosauria, Squamata, Colubridae.